UGUGAACAUACCUAUUUGUUGCCUCGGCGGUGCCUGUUCCGACAGCCCGCCAGAGGACCCCAAACCCUGAUUACAUUUAAGAAGUCUUCUGAGUAAACCGAUUAAAUAAAUCAAAACUUUCAACAACGGAUCUCUUGGUUCUGGCAUCGAUGAAGAACGCAGCGAAAUGCGAUAAGUAAUGUGAAUUGCAGAAUUCAGUGAAUCAUCGAAUCUUUGAACGCACAUUGCGCCCGCUAGUAUUCUGGCGGGCAUGCCUGUCCGAGCGUCAUUUCAACCCUCAAGCCCCCGGGCUUGGUGUUGGGGAUCGGCGAGCCUCCGCGCCCGCCGUCCCCUAAAUCUAGUGGCGGUCUCGCUGUAGCUUCCUCUGCGUAGUAGCACACCUCGCACUGGGAAACAGCGCGGCCACGCCGUUAAACCCCCAACUUCUGAACGUUUGACCUCGGAUCAGGUAGGAAUACCCGCUGAACUUAAGCAUAUCAAUAAGCGGAGGA
Molecule: ribosomal RNA, 491 nt
Filed under: Ilyonectria sp. CJL-2014
Lineage: Eukaryota; Fungi; Ascomycota; Sordariomycetes; Hypocreales; Nectriaceae
Description: eukaryotic LSU rRNA
Rfam family: 5.8S ribosomal RNA (bases 115-268)
Source: RNAcentral